RNAcentral lists this ribosomal RNA (802 nucleotides) under Streptomyces sp. RNAcentral's name for it is "bacterial SSU rRNA". It matches the Rfam family "Bacterial small subunit ribosomal RNA", at positions 56 to 875 of the family's 1533-position model. The record is from RNAcentral. Lineage: Bacteria; Bacillati; Actinomycetota; Actinomycetes; Kitasatosporales; Streptomycetaceae.
UGCAGUCGACGAUGAAGCCCUUCGGGGUGGAUUAGUGGCGAACGGGUGAGUAACACGUGGGCAAUCUGCCCUUCACUCUGGGACAAGCCCUGGAAACGGGGUCUAAUACCGGAUAACACUUCUUCAGGCAUCUGAAGAGGUUAAAAGCUCCGGCGGUGAAGGAUGAGCCCGCGGCCUAUCAGCUUGUUGGUGGGGUAAUGGCCUACCAAGGCGACGACGGGUAGCCGGCCUGAGAGGGCGACCGGCCACACUGGGACUGAGACACGGCCCAGACUCCUACGGGAGGCAGCAGUGGGGAAUAUUGCACAAUGGGCGAAAGCCUGAUGCAGCGACGCCGCGUGAGGGAUGACGGCCUUCGGGUUGUAAACCUCUUUCAGCAGGGAAGAAGCGAAAGUGACGGUACCUGCAGAAGAAGCGCCGGCUAACUACGUGCCAGCAGCCGCGGUAAUACGUAGGGCGCAAGCGUUGUCCGGAAUUAUUGGGCGUAAAGAGCUCGUAGGCGGCUUGUCACGUCGGAUGUGAAAGCCCGGGGCUUAACCCCGGGUCUGCAUUCGAUACGGGCAGGCUAGAGUGUGGUAGGGGAGAUCGGAAUUCCUGGUGUAGCGGUGAAAUGCGCAGAUAUCAGGAGGAACACCGGUGGCGAAGGCGGAUCUCUGGGCCAUUACUGACGCUGAGGAGCGAAAGCGUGGGGAGCGAACAGGAUUAGAUACCCUGGUAGUCCACGCCGUAAACGUUGGGAACUAGGUGUUGGCGACAUUCCACGUCGUCGGUGCCGCAGCUAACGCAUUAAGUUCCCCGCCUG